GGGUUGUGAGGUUAAGCGACUAAGCGUACACGGUGGAUGCCCUGGCAGUCAGAGGCGAUGAAGGACGUGCUAAUCUGCGAUAAGCGUCGGUAAGGUGAUAUGAACCGUUAUAACCGGCGAUUUCCGAAUGGGGAAACCCAGUGUGUUUCGACACACUAUCAUUAACUGAAUCCAUAGGUUAAUGAGGCGAACCGGGGAACUGAAACAUCUAAGUACCCCGAGGAAAAGAAAUCAACCGAGAUUCCCCCAGUAGCGGCGAGCGAACGGGGAGCAGCCCAGAGCCUGAAUCAGUGUGUGUGUUAGUGGAAGCGUCUGGAAAGGCGCGCGAUACAGGGUGACAGCCCCGUACACAAAAAUGCACAUGCUGUGAGCUCGAUGAGUAGGGCGGGACACGUGGUAUCCUGUCUGAAUAUGGGGGGACCAUCCUCCAAGGCUAAAUACUCCUGACUGACCGAUAGUGAACCAGUACCGUGAGGGAAAGGCGAAAAGAACCCCGGCGAGGGGAGUGAAAAAGAACCUGAAACCGUGUACGUACAAGCAGUGGGAGCCUCUUUAUGGGGUGACUGCGUACCUUUUGUAUAAUGGGUCAGCGACUUAUAUUCUGUAGCAAGGUUAACCGAAUAGGGGAGCCGAAGGGAAACCGAGUCUUAACUGGGCGUUAAGUUGCAGGGUAUAGACCCGAAACCCGGUGAUCUAGCCAUGGGCAGGUUGAAGGUUGGGUAACACUAACUGGAGGACCGAACCGACUAAUGUUGAAAAAUUAGCGGAUGACUUGUGGCUGGGGGUGAAAGGCCAAUCAAACCGGGAGAUAGCUGGUUCUCCCCGAAAGCUAUUUAGGUAGCGCCUCGUGAAUUCAUCUCCGGGGGUAGAGCACUGUUUCGGCAAGGGGGUCAUCCCGACUUACCAACCCGAUGCAAACUGCGAAUACCGGAGAAUGUUAUCACGGGAGACACACGGCGGGUGCUAACGUCCGUCGUGAAGAGGGAAACAACCCAGACCGCCAGCUAAGGUCCCAAAGUCAUGGUUAAGUGGGAAACGAUGUGGGAAGGCCCAGACAGCCAGGAUGUUGGCUUAGAAGCAGCCAUCAUUUAAAGAAAGCGUAAUAGCUCACUGGUCGAGUCGGCCUGCGCGGAAGAUGUAACGGGGCUAAACCAUGCACCGAAGCUGCGGCAGCGACGCUUAUGCGUUGUUGGGUAGGGGAGCGUUCUGUAAGCCUGUGAAGGUGUGCUGUGAGGCAUGCUGGAGGUAUCAGAAGUGCGAAUGCUGACAUAAGUAACGAUAAAGCGGGUGAAAAGCCCGCUCGCCGGAAGACCAAGGGUUCCUGUCCAACGUUAAUCGGGGCAGGGUGAGUCGACCCCUAAGGCGAGGCCGAAAGGCGUAGUCGAUGGGAAACAGGUUAAUAUUCCUGUACUUGGUGUUACUGCGAAGGGGGGACGGAGAAGGCUAUGUUGGCCGGGCGACGGUUGUCCCGGUUUAAGCGUGUAGGCUGGUUUUCCAGGCAAAUCCGGAAAAUCAAGGCUGAGGCGUGAUGACGAGGCACUACGGUGCUGAAGCAACAAAUGCCCUGCUUCCAGGAAAAGCCUCUAAGCAUCAGGUAACAUCAAAUCGUACCCCAAACCGACACAGGUGGUCAGGUAGAGAAUACCAAGGCGCUUGAGAGAACUCGGGUGAAGGAACUAGGCAAAAUGGUGCCGUAACUUCGGGAGAAGGCACGCUGAUAUGUAGGUGAGGUCCCUCGCGGAUGGAGCUGAAAUCAGUCGAAGAUACCAGCUGGCUGCAACUGUUUAUUAAAAACACAGCACUGUGCAAACACGAAAGUGGACGUAUACGGUGUGACGCCUGCCCGGUGCCGGAAGGUUAAUUGAUGGGGUUAGCGGUAACGCGAAGCUCUUGAUCGAAGCCCCGGUAAACGGCGGCCGUAACUAUAACGGUCCUAAGGUAGCGAAAUUCCUUGUCGGGUAAGUUCCGACCUGCACGAAUGGCGUAAUGAUGGCCAGGCUGUCUCCACCCGAGACUCAGUGAAAUUGAACUCGCUGUGAAGAUGCAGUGUACCCGCGGCAAGACGGAAAGACCCCGUGAACCUUUACUAUAGCUUGACACUGAACAUUGAGCCUUGAUGUGUAGGAUAGGUGGGAGGCUUUGAAGUGUGGACGCCAGUCUGCAUGGAGCCGACCUUGAAAUACCACCCUUUAAUGUUUGAUGUUCUAACGUUGACCCGUAAUCCGGGUUGCGGACAGUGUCUGGUGGGUAGUUUGACUGGGGCGGUCUCCUCCUAAAGAGUAACGGAGGAGCACGAAGGUUGGCUAAUCCUGGUCGGACAUCAGGAGGUUAGUGCAAUGGCAUAAGCCAGCUUGACUGCGAGCGUGACGGCGCGAGCAGGUGCGAAAGCAGGUCAUAGUGAUCCGGUGGUUCUGAAUGGAAGGGCCAUCGCUCAACGGAUAAAAGGUACUCCGGGGAUAACAGGCUGAUACCGCCCAAGAGUUCAUAUCGACGGCGGUGUUUGGCACCUCGAUGUCGGCUCAUCACAUCCUGGGGCUGAAGUAGGUCCCAAGGGUAUGGCUGUUCGCCAUUUAAAGUGGUACGCGAGCUGGGUUUAGAACGUCGUGAGACAGUUCGGUCCCUAUCUGCCGUGGGCGCUGGAGAACUGAGGGGGGCUGCUCCUAGUACGAGAGGACCGGAGUGGACGCAUCACUGGUGUUCGGGUUGUCAUGCCAAUGGCACUGCCCGGUAGCUAAAUGCGGAAGAGAUAAGUGCUGAAAGCAUCUAAGCACGAAACUUGCCCCGAGAUGAGUUCUCCCUGACUCCUUGAGAGUCCUGAAGGAACGUUGAAGACGACGACGUUGAUAGGCCGGGUGUGUAAGCGCAGCGAUGCGUUGAGCUAACCGGUACUAAUGAACCGUGAGGCUUAACCUUACAACGCCGAAG
This 2925-nucleotide ribosomal RNA is filed under the name Escherichia coli. RNAcentral's name for it is "bacterial LSU rRNA". It matches the Rfam family "Bacterial large subunit ribosomal RNA". The record is from RNAcentral. Lineage: Bacteria; Pseudomonadati; Pseudomonadota; Gammaproteobacteria; Enterobacterales; Enterobacteriaceae.